UUGAUCCUGGCUCAGAAUCAACGCUGGCGGCGCGCCUAACACAUGCAAGUCGAACGAGAAAGUGGAGCAAUCCAUGAGUACAGUGGCGUACGGGUGAGUUACACGUGGAUAAUCUACCUCUUAGUGGGGAAUAACCAGGGGAAACUCUGUCUAAUACCGCAUAAGCCUGAGAAGGGAAAGCAGCAAUGCGCUGAGAGAGUAGCCCGCGGCCGAUUAGCUAGUUGGUGGGGUAAGAGCCCACCAAGGCAGUGAUCGGUAGCCGGCCUGAGAGGGCACACGGCCACACUGGCACUGAAACAUGGGCCAGACUCCUACGGGAGGCAGCAGUGGGGAAUCUUGCACAAUGGGGUAAACCCUGAUGCAGCGACGCCGCGUGAGCGAUGAAGCCCUUCGGGGUGUUAAGCUCUUUCGUCAGGGACGAUAAUGACGGUACCUGGAGAAGCAGCUGCUGCUAACUACGUGCCAGCAGCCGCGGUAAUU
RNAcentral lists this ribosomal RNA (480 nucleotides) under uncultured Acidobacteriota bacterium. RNAcentral's name for it is "bacterial SSU rRNA". It matches the Rfam family "Bacterial small subunit ribosomal RNA", at positions 13 to 525 of the family's 1533-position model. The record is from RNAcentral. Lineage: Bacteria; Pseudomonadati; Acidobacteriota.